GGGGGACUACCCGCUGAACUUAAGCAUAUCAAUAAGCGGAGGAAA
RNAcentral lists this ribosomal RNA (45 nucleotides) under Puccinia graminis. RNAcentral describes it as "partial 28S ribosomal RNA". The record is from RNAcentral. Lineage: Eukaryota; Fungi; Basidiomycota; Pucciniomycetes; Pucciniales; Pucciniaceae.